This 76-nucleotide transfer RNA is filed under the name Segniliparus rotundus DSM 44985. RNAcentral's name for it is "tRNA-Glu". It matches the Rfam family "tRNA". From Rfam's summary of the family: Transfer RNA (tRNA) molecules are approximately 80 nucleotides in length. Their secondary structure includes four short double-helical elements and three loops (D, anti-codon, and T loops). The record is from RNAcentral. Lineage: Bacteria; Bacillati; Actinomycetota; Actinomycetes; Mycobacteriales; Segniliparaceae. RNAcentral also lists the same sequence under 1 other name.
GCCCCUUUCGUUCAGUGGCCUAGGACUCCGCCCUUUCACGGCGGCAACGCGGGUUCGAAUCCCGUAGGGGGUACGA